This 2177-nucleotide unclassified non-coding RNA is filed under the name Athalia rosae (coleseed sawfly). RNAcentral describes it as "misc RNA ENSAEAG00005006204.1". The record is from RNAcentral. Lineage: Eukaryota; Metazoa; Arthropoda; Insecta; Hymenoptera; Athaliidae.
AGAAAGGGGAACAAUAGACGAGAUAACGAAUGGCAUAAUUAUUGGCAGACGGAUAUUUGAAUGAAAUUCAACCAAAAAUAUAUACCAUUCACUAAUUGUAACGCAAUUCAAGAAAUUACUCAAUUCCAGAGAAGCUGAAUAUUGGCUGGCUUACAUGUAUAAGAUGAAUGUAUCAACUUAAUCUAUUUGUCAAGACAAACUGACUCGAUGAAAGACUGGAGGACAGUAACGUAGACAUUUGCUGCGAUGGAUAAUAUAUUUAACAGUUCAUCAGUUCAGCUUCGGAUGGUGGCCUGUGAAUUCCCCGCUCCCAAUGUACACACAGUGGUUUACCAGUUCUCGAUGGAGCCAGAAUCAUCAUUGUAGAUGAAGCCUUUGAUGCUAAGUACGCCGAGUCAUUGAUCACAGCCUGGCUACCAGUUUGGAAGGCAAAAGACUCUCGAAACAUAGAUUUGAUAUGUUUUUCUGGACCGAAGCAUUCCAAUAAAAUAUAUUCGGAGUCAUUAAACCUGCUUCAGCAGAAAAUUGAAGUCCAUGAUUUUUAUACUCUAGCUUUAGACAAAGCUGAUCCCUUCGAUGAUCAAAAGCUAUGGGAAUCUUCAAAAAUAGUUUCAUUGAAACAAAAUUCUACAGUUAUAAUUGACAGUUUAAGUUGUCUGAUUCUCUAUAAGGGACUGGCUGAAAGUUGCAGAUUUAUUGAAAAAUUAAGUGCAAAAGUAGCACAAAUAGUAUGCAUCUACCAAAGAGAUUUUGGGCAAACAAAAGUGCCUAGUAUCAAUACUCUGGGAACCAGCUAUGUACGAAUAGAGCAAGCACUCGGCGUAAAAUUAAACCAUAACUUAUCGUAUAAGACUCGAUCUGUACACUGCAAACCUGGAGGUGGUAUUUUGCAGCAAGUUGAAAUCGUCGAGCAGAAUAUCAAUUCCCAUGAGAUCAAAACUGAAAGAGACAAGGUUACCGAUGGAAAAAAUGCUGUGAUCAGAGCAUCAGAACCUGCUAAGAAAAUUCAAGCCUCAUUCAGAAUCGAAAUUAAUGAUCGUGAAAUGGAACAAAGAGAAGCUACACCUCUACCCUACACCAUUGCCACUUCACAACCAAAUGAAUCGAAAAUUCAUUAUGUACCUGACGAAGUCGACGAUCUCGACGAAGAAGAUCCAGAUGAUGAUUUGGACUUUUAAUGGAUGGAAUGAAACAGGGGUGAAUAUUGUUUACAUCUGUCGUAUAUAUUUCACUAAUUUAAAUUUGAUUUAAAUAAAAUAUAUAAUUAUAUAAUUAUUCAUCGUUAAAUCUUACUUUACUUUGGUGCCAUUAUAUUGUAGAAAGAUCAAACUGCGAUGGCUAAAUGACCACAAUUUUUUAGCCAAGUAUGGCACAUACGUAUCGUAACCUUUCUCUCCUUUGACCCUCAAGUUAUCACAAAGCCAUAUCAAAAUCUGAGAUACUUAACAGAUAAUAAUAUAAUACUGUGUCAAUGACAUUGGUAAUUGAAGAAUUAGUGUAACUAUCAGUGACGUAAAGACAUAAUCAAACGAAUGAAUCGUGGAUAAAGAUAUGCAUCAAUCGCAAUCUUCCAGAUUUCAGAUACAACUUCUACGUGACAAAUUAUAAUUUCAUGUCGUUCUGCGUUUACGAACAGCUUCAUAAAUUCGUGGAAGACACAUCAAAUAAUAAAAGAUUAGUUUGACUUAAAGAAAAGUUAUAACAAAAUAUUCUUUAUAUUUUUUCACUAUUCAUCUUCCACAGAUUAUAGAAUCACACGUCCCAAUUUGAAACAAAAAAUUCACGUGUAAUUCACGUAUGUGCUUAGAUUCUUCAUAUCAGUUGUUCGAAAUUUUAAUUCAAACUAACAAACUUAGCAUAUAUUUACACUCUAUUGUGAAAUUGUGCGAGUAACUGAGAUAUUUUUUAAUGGUUCAGUUGUUACUUAGCAGAUUAGGAACUGAAGAUGCCUUCACUUCAAGCAAACAUUAUACAAUGUUUACUAGUAAAAUGAUCAAUGAUAUAGACUAGUUUGAUGCAAAGAUUAGUUUCUGGCUUCCAAACUAUUCUUUGCAGAAAUGUAAAUAACUAUGUUACAUAUCAGCUGCAAUCGCGAACUCCGUUCUUUCAAUCCUAUCGUUGAGAGUAGAUACCUACAUACUCUAAGCAAUCCUAUACUAUAAUUUAGCACAGGUAUG